AUGAAGAACAUCAAGCUCAUGGCAAUCCUUGUUCUCCAGGCCAUCCUGGUCAUGGGAAUCCUCGCACAUGUGAAUGCCAACUACUUCCCCAAGUGUUGCGACAAAUGCAGGUCCUUCUCAGGGGUGGAUAUCUGUGACGACACCCAUCCUCAGUGCCCCAAGGGCUGCUCCACGUGCCGCCCGGUGCAGACGGGCAGUGUCAAGAUGUUCUAG
RNAcentral lists this ribosomal RNA (213 nucleotides) under Triticum aestivum (bread wheat). RNAcentral describes it as "partial small subunit ribosomal RNA". The record is from RNAcentral. Lineage: Eukaryota; Viridiplantae; Streptophyta; Magnoliopsida; Poales; Poaceae.